RNAcentral lists this ribosomal RNA (247 nucleotides) under uncultured cyanobacterium. RNAcentral's name for it is "partial 16S ribosomal RNA". It matches the Rfam family "Bacterial small subunit ribosomal RNA", at positions 1288 to 1533 of the family's 1533-position model. The record is from RNAcentral. Lineage: Bacteria; Bacillati; Cyanobacteriota.
UCAGUUCAGAUCGUAGGCUGCAACUCGCCUACGUGAAGUAGGAAUCGCUAGUAAUCGCAGGUCAGCAUACUGCGGUGAAUACGUUCCCGGGCCUUGUACACACCGCCCGUCACACCAUGGAAGUUGGCCACGCCCGAAGUCGUUACUUUAACCCUUGUGGAGAAGGACGCCGAAGGUGGGGCUGAUGACUGGGGUGAAGUCGUAACAAGGUAGCCGUACCGGAAGGUGCGGCUGGAUCACCUCCUAA